UCUAAACGACUCUCGGCAACGGAUAUCUCGGCUCUCGCAUCGAUGAAGAACGUAGCGAAAUGCGAUACUUGGUGUGAAUUGCAGAAUCCCGUGAACCAUCGAGUCUUUGAACGCAAGUUGCGCCCGAAGCCUUCUGGCUGAGGGCACGCCUGCCUGGGCGUCAC
This 164-nucleotide ribosomal RNA is filed under the name Veronica macrostemon. RNAcentral's name for it is "5.8S ribosomal RNA". It matches the Rfam family "5.8S ribosomal RNA". From Rfam's summary of the family: 5.8S ribosomal RNA (5.8S rRNA) is a component of the large subunit of the eukaryotic ribosome. It is transcribed by RNA polymerase I as part of the 45S precursor that also contains 18S and 28S rRNA. The record is from RNAcentral. Lineage: Eukaryota; Viridiplantae; Streptophyta; Magnoliopsida; Lamiales; Plantaginaceae.